UACGUAGGGUGCAAGCGUUGUCCGGAAUUAUUGGGCGUAAAGAGCUCGUAGGUGGCCUGUCGCGUCGGCUGUGAAAACCUGCAGCUUAACUGUGGGCGUGCGGUCGAUACGGGCAUGACUGGAGUUCGGCAGGGGAGACUGGAAUUCCUGGUGUAGCGGUGAAAUGCGCAGAUAUCAGGAGGAACACCGGUGGCGAAGGCGGGUCUCUGGGCCGAUACUGACGCUGAGGAGCGAAAGCGUGGGGAGCGAACAGG
This 254-nucleotide ribosomal RNA is filed under the name uncultured bacterium. RNAcentral describes it as "partial 16S ribosomal RNA". It matches the Rfam family "Bacterial small subunit ribosomal RNA", at positions 524 to 776 of the family's 1533-position model. The record is from RNAcentral.